RNAcentral lists this small RNA (112 nucleotides) under Marmota monax (woodchuck). The record is from RNAcentral. Lineage: Eukaryota; Metazoa; Chordata; Mammalia; Rodentia; Sciuridae.
GCCAGGUUCUGUGGCGUACACCUGUAAUCCCAGCAGCUCGGGAGGUUGAGACAGGAGGAUCAUGAGUUCAAAGCCAGCCUUAGCAAUGCAAGUCAGUGAGACCCUGUCUCCA